GACGAACGCUGGCGGCGUGCUUAACACAUGCAAGUCGAACGGAAAGGCCUGCUUUCCCUUGUGGAUUGCGGGUGCUCGAGUGGCGAACGGGUGAGUAACACGUGAGUGAUCUGUCCCCAACUUGGGUAUAAGCCUGGGAAACUGGGUCUAAUUCCCGAUAGGACUGCAGGGUGGUGCCUGUGGUGGAAAACGAUUUUCUAGUGGUUGGGGAUGAGCUCGCGGCCUAUCAGCUUGUUGGUGGGGUAAUGGCCUACCAAGGCGGCGACGGGUAGCCGGCCUGAGAGGGUGGACGGCCACAUUGGGACUGAGAUACGGCCCAGACUCCUACGGGAGGCAGCAGUGGGGAAUAUUGCACAAUGGGCGGAAGCCUGAUGCAGCGACGCCGCGUGGGGGAUGACGGCCUUCGGGUUGUAAACUCCUUUCGACCGCGAGGAAGCCACCUGGUUGGAAGGGUGGUGACGGUAGUGGUAGAAGAAGCACCGGCUAACUACGUG
RNAcentral lists this ribosomal RNA (494 nucleotides) under uncultured bacterium. Its description in RNAcentral is "partial 16S ribosomal RNA". It matches the Rfam family "Bacterial small subunit ribosomal RNA", at positions 28 to 507 of the family's 1533-position model. The record is from RNAcentral.